RNAcentral lists this transfer RNA (72 nucleotides) under Camelus bactrianus (Bactrian camel). It matches the Rfam family "tRNA". Rfam says of the family: Transfer RNA (tRNA) molecules are approximately 80 nucleotides in length. The record is from Rfam by way of RNAcentral. Lineage: Eukaryota; Metazoa; Chordata; Mammalia; Artiodactyla; Camelidae. RNAcentral also lists the same sequence under 1 other name.
GAGGGUGUAGCUCAAGUGGUAGAGUUCUUGCUUAAAAUGCAUGAGGUCUGGGUUCAAUCCCCAGUACCUCCU